Molecule: long non-coding RNA, 704 nt
Organism: Jaculus jaculus (lesser Egyptian jerboa)
Lineage: Eukaryota; Metazoa; Chordata; Mammalia; Rodentia; Dipodidae
Exons: 3
Source: RefSeq, a predicted model, not a curated record
GCCGAAGAGGUGGCAGAAAGAAUAUUGGAGAUUAUGAGAGUAAGGAGUCUGGAAAAGCCACCAUGACCGUGAAAGCCUUGCAUGUUAAGUUCCUGAGAAGUGAGAUACAAAGAGCAAGCUUGAACUGUGAUGUCAUCUUUAAUGCCAGCCACACCAUCUCUGCUGCCUGCAUGUCACCCUGGGAACCUGUGCCAGCAGGAACCUGCUACAGCCGGAGGAGGAUGUGCAACAAAUACAUUAUGGAGGGCCCUGAGACUACCACUCUGCACUGAACCAGCACUUCAGGAGUUGUGUUCUGAAGGCACUGAGCAACUCGAGAGCUGUUCCUUCUACCUCUGAAUGGUGGCCAAUCAGACUAGGGAAUGACUUCCCUGCUCACUCCUUUCACUCAUCUGGAUGCAAUAAAAGACAAAUUGACCCUUCACUGCGCACUCUCUAGACAUGGUUAUGUCUAAAUGCAGAUGCAGUCAGCAAGGUGAGAAACUGGCAGUGGCCAGGCAACUGCAGCAGUUGGCUCUGUCUGGAGUGUGACACCAAUGGGCUCCAUCUUGCAAGCUGAGGAAUCUGAGACUUCCCUUGGCAAAGCUGGGAGGGCUUCCAGCGACUUCCUAGAAUGCCUGCUGCCUGACAGUGUGCACUACUGUUAUCUCUUUCUUCAAGUUUUUUAGAAUCAUUAAUAUACUGUUUGCUUAUUUUUGCUUUCA